CCUACGGGAGGCAGCAGUGGGGAAUAUUGGGCAAUGGAGGCAACUCUUACCCAGCAAUGCCGCGUGAAUGAAGAAGGUCUUCGGGGUGUAAAAUUCUUUAAUUGGGGACGAAAAAAAUGACGGUCCCCCAGGCAUGAGCCUCGCCUGACUACGUGCCAGCGGCCGCGGUACUACGUAGGGGGCAAGCGUUGUUCGGAAUUACUGGGCGUAAAGGGUGUGUAGGCGGGGUAGCAAGUUAGAAGUGAAAAACCUAGAGCUUAACUCAGGUGCUGCUUCUAAAACUGCUAUACUUGAGUGCAGUAGAGGAAAGUGGAAUUCCUAGUGUAGCGGUGGAAUGCGUAGAUAUUAGGAGGAACAUCAGUGGCGAAGGCGACGUACCGGACUGUAACUGACGCUGAGGCACGAAAGUGUGGGGAGCAAACAGGAUUAGAUACCCUUGUAGUC
This 444-nucleotide ribosomal RNA is filed under the name uncultured bacterium. Its description in RNAcentral is "partial 16S ribosomal RNA". It matches the Rfam family "Bacterial small subunit ribosomal RNA", at positions 338 to 795 of the family's 1533-position model. The record is from RNAcentral.